Molecule: long non-coding RNA, 763 nt
Filed under: Pongo abelii (Sumatran orangutan)
Lineage: Eukaryota; Metazoa; Chordata; Mammalia; Primates; Hominidae
Description: lincRNA
Source: RNAcentral
AACUAGGACAACUAAUAUGCUUCAAACUUCCAAUGAUAAUGUAUAGACAAGAAGACAGCUCUGUUCUCUAGGCUGUGCUUUUAGUGCCAACUUUCUUAAUAACAUCACCUAUUCUGCUGACGCUCACUCUGGAGGAAAUAAAACGUUAGAGCUCCUGGCUAAACAGGAUCUGAAAGGAAGGUUGGAAUCCAGUGGCAGUAUCAUGGCUCACUGCAACCUCAACCUGCCAGUCUCAUGCCAUCCAACCACCUCAGUCUCCCUAGUAGCUGGCACUACAGGUAUAUGCCACCAUGCCCAGGGUUUUACUCCUGGGUCUGAAAAAGUCAUCAAAUCUUGCUAAUUCUUAGACAUAGACAUCAGUCAAAGCCUCAUCUGCAGACCUAGGAGAAGGUGAUAAUAAAAAUGAGCUGCUUUUGUGAGACACGGGGCCAGAAAUUAAAACUGUUCAAUUGCUCUAGGCCCAAGCACUAUUUCAGAAGAGGCUGGAGUGAAGUGACUCAAUCUCGGCUCCCUGCAACCUCCACCUCAAGGAUUGAAGCAAUUCUCAUGCCUCAGACUCCCCAGUAGCUGGGAUUACAGGUCAAAAACUACUAUCUCAAUGAGUGGGAAGUCAGAUGAUUAAUGUCUGCUGUUUACACAGAAACUUGCAGAGAUUUACAGCAAGAGCAUAAUUAUAUCAAGAUGACAAUAACAACAAUGUUUAACAUCUAGAAGCCACUUCCAACAAAACCAUGUGGAAGGCGGGAGCAAAUUGCAUAGAUGU